CCCUUAGAUGUUCUGGGCUGCACGCGCGCUACACUGAUGCGCUCAACGAGUUUUAACCUUGCCUGGAAAGGUUGGGUAAUCUUUUUAAAACGCGUCGUGAUGGGGAUAGAUUAUUGCAAUUAUUAAUCUUCAACGAGGAAUGCCUAGUAAACGCAAGUCAUCAGCUUGCAUUGAUUACGUCCCUGCCCUUUGUACACACCGCCCGUCGCUCCUACCGAUUGAACGUUCCGAUGAAUACCAUGGAUUGAGAGUCUGAAUGGGUUCGCCUAUUUCUGCUUCUCGAGAAGUGGAGUAAAUCUUAGCGUUUAGAGGAAGGAGAAGUCGUAACA
This 329-nucleotide ribosomal RNA is filed under the name uncultured eukaryote. RNAcentral describes it as "partial 18S ribosomal RNA". It matches the Rfam family "Eukaryotic small subunit ribosomal RNA", at positions 1470 to 1796 of the family's 1831-position model. The record is from RNAcentral.